Panthera uncia (snow leopard) is the source of this 530-nucleotide long non-coding RNA. RefSeq lists it as uncharacterized. The record is from RefSeq and is a predicted model, not a curated record. The transcript has 3 exons. NCBI's taxonomy places the organism in Eukaryota, Metazoa, Chordata, Mammalia, Carnivora, Felidae.
GCACUACUUGUAGGGGUUGUUGCGGUUUGCAUGGAUACAACGUUCAAGACGGAGGAGCCGGAUGCCAAGCCAGACACAGGCCCCGCGGAUGCACGAUUGCUUCAGAGAAGACCAAAUUUCGAAGACUGAUACUAAAAACAUCAUCUUGUUAGAAAGGUGGCAGAUAUUCACUGCAAAAGAUUCAAAAGGAUAAAGAAAAAUAAAGAGAAAACAAGUCAACCAUAACCCAACCACACUUUUAAGAUUUUGAUGUAAAUCUUUCCACAACUCUUUCUGAAUAUAUUUUUAAAACAAUGUCCAAACCAAAAUGGGAUCACGCUUUACAUACUACUUUGUAACCUGCUAUUUUAACUCAGUGACGUGUCAAGGACACCUUUCCAUGUCUAUAUCAAUCUGUAUUAUUAUGUAGGACUUCAUACUUGCCCUUAUAUGCAUGUCCUAUGAUUAUUUUAAGCAAGCCCCCGCUCUUUACUGACAAACUUUCGGCUGUUUCCUAUUUUUGAUCACUCUAAAGAGUACUGAAAUAAAGU